UGCGUAGGCGGAUUGAUAAGUCAGUGGUGAAAACCUUCAGCUUAACUGGAGACUUGCCAUUGAUACUGUUAGUCUUGAGUACGGUCAAGGUAGGCGGAAUGUGUAAUGUAGCGGUGAAAUGCUUAGAUAUUACACAGAACACCGAUUGCGAAGGCAGCUUACUGGGCCAUUACUGACGCUGAGGCACGAAAGCGUGGGGAGCGAACAGGAUUAGAUACCUGGUAGUCC
RNAcentral lists this ribosomal RNA (228 nucleotides) under uncultured bacterium. RNAcentral describes it as "partial 16S ribosomal RNA". It matches the Rfam family "Bacterial small subunit ribosomal RNA", at positions 568 to 796 of the family's 1533-position model. The record is from RNAcentral.